GGGUUGUGAGGUUAAGCGACUAAGCGUACACGGUGGAUGCCCUGGCAGUCAGAGGCGAUGAAGGGCGUACUAAUCUGCGAUAAGCGCCGGUAAGGUGAUAUGAACCGUUAUAACCGGCGAUACCCGAAUGGGGAAACCCAGUGUGAUUCGUCACACUAUCAUUAACUGAAUCCAUAGGUUAAUGAGGCGAACCGGGGGAACUGAAACAUCUAAGUACCCCGAGGAAAAGAAAUCAACCGAGAUUCCCCCAGUAGCGGCGAGCGAACGGGGAGGAGCCCAGAGCCUGAAUCAGCAUGUGUGUUAGUGGAAGCGUCUGGAAAGGCGCGCGAUACAGGGUGACAGCCCCGUACACAAAAGCGCAUGUGCUGUGAGCUCGAUGAGUAGGGCGGGACACGUGGUAUCCUGUCUGAAUAUGGGGGGACCAUCCUCCAAGGCUAAAUACUCCUGACUGACCGAUAGUGAACCAGUACCGUGAGGGAAAGGCGAAAAGAACCCCGGCGAGGGGAGUGAAAAAGAACCUGAAACCGUGUACGUACAAGCAGUGGGAGCCCCACCACCAAAGCAUUUGCUGUACCGCGUUGACGGAGCGAAGCGACGUCAAACCGAUAAAACAGCAGUGUAAAGUGAGCCGCAGGGCGCUUUGCGCGACAGCGCAAAGGCAGGCGGUUUCGCGUAGCGAAAGCGAAUGCUUUGGGGUGGGGUGACUGCGUACCUUUUGUAUAAUGGGUCAGCGACUUAUAUUCUGUAGCAAGGUUAACCGAAUAGGGGAGCCGGAGGGAAACCGAGUCUUAAUUGGGCGUUAAGUUGCAGGGUAUAGACCCGAAACCCGGUGAUCUAGCCAUGGGCAGGUUGAAGGUUGGGUAACACUAACUGGAGGACCGAACCGACUAAUGUUGAAAAAUUAGCGGAUGACCUGUGGCUGGGGGUGAAAGGCCAAUCAAACCGGGAGAUAGCUGGUUCUCCCCGAAAGCUAUUUAGGUAGCGCCUCGUGAAUUCAUCUCCGGGGGUAGAGCACUGUUUCGGCUAGGGGGCCAUCCCGGCUUACCAACCCGAUGCAAACUGCGAAUACCGGAGAAUGUUAUCACGGGAGACACACGGCGGGUGCUAACGUCCGUCGUGAAGAGGGAAACAACCCAGACCGCCAGCUAAGGUCCCAAAGUCAUGGUUAAGUGGGAAACGAUGUGGGAAGGCCCAGACAGCCAGGAUGUUGGCUUAGAAGCAGCCAUCAUUUAAAGAAAGCGUAAUAGCUCACUGGUCGAGUCGGCCUGCGCGGAAGAUGUAACGGGGCUAAACCAUGCACCGAAGCUGCGGCAGCGACACUGUGUGUUGUUGGGUAGGGGAGCGUUCUGUAAGCCUGUGAAGGUGUGUCGUGAGGCAUGCUGGAGGUAUCAGAAGUGCGAAUGCUGACAUAAGUAACGAUAAAGCGGGUGAAAAGCCCGCUCGCCGGAAGACCAAGGGUUCCUGUCCAACGUUAAUCGGGGCAGGGUGAGUCGACCCCUAAGGCGAGGCCGAAAGGCGUAGUCGAUGGGAAACGGGUUAAUAUUCCCGUACUUGGUGUUACUGCGAAGGGGGGACGGAGAAGGCUAUGUUGGCCGGGCGACGGUUGUCCCGGUUUAAGCGUGUAGGUGUGUGUUCCAGGUAAAUCCGGUUCACUUUAACACUGAGGCGUGACGACGAGGCACUACGGUGCUGAAGCAACAAAUGCCCUGCUUCCAGGAAAAGCCUCUAAGCAUCAGGUAACAUCAAAUCGUACCCCAAACCGACACAGGUGGUCAGGUAGAGAAUACCAAGGCGCUUGAGAGAACUCGGGUGAAGGAACUAGGCAAAAUGGUGCCGUAACUUCGGGAGAAGGCACGCUGACACGUAGGUGAAGUGAUUUACUCAUGGAGCUGAAGUCAGUCGAAGAUACCAGCUGGCUGCAACUGUUUAUUAAAAACACAGCACUGUGCAAACACGAAAGUGGACGUAUACGGUGUGACGCCUGCCCGGUGCCGGAAGGUUAAUUGAUGGGGUCAGCGCAAGCGAAGCUCCUGAUCGAAGCCCCGGUAAACGGCGGCCGUAACUAUAACGGUCCUAAGGUAGCGAAAUUCCUUGUCGGGUAAGUUCCGACCUGCACGAAUGGCGUAAUGAUGGCCAGGCUGUCUCCACCCGAGACUCAGUGAAAUUGAACUCGCUGUGAAGAUGCAGUGUACCCGCGGCAAGACGGAAAGACCCCGUGAACCUUUACUAUAGCUUGACACUGAACAUUGAGCCUUGAUGUGUAGGAUAGGUGGGAGGCUUUGAAGUGUGGACGCCAGUCUGCAUGGAGCCGACCUUGAAAUACCACCCUUUAAUGUUUGAUGUUCUAACGUGGACCCGUUACCCGGGUUGCGGACAGUGUCUGGUGGGUAGUUUGACUGGGGCGGUCUCCUCCUAAAGAGUAACGGAGGAGCACGAAGGUUGGCUAAUCCUGGUCGGACAUCAGGAGGUUAGUGCAAUGGCAUAAGCCAGCUUGACUGCGAGCGUGACGGCGCGAGCAGGUGCGAAAGCAGGUCAUAGUGAUCCGGUGGUUCUGAAUGGAAGGGCCAUCGCUCAACGGAUAAAAGGUACUCCGGGGAUAACAGGCUGAUACCGCCCAAGAGUUCAUAUCGACGGCGGUGUUUGGCACCUCGAUGUCGGCUCAUCACAUCCUGGGGCUGAAGUAGGUCCCAAGGGUAUGGCUGUUCGCCAUUUAAAGUGGUACGCGAGCUGGGUUUAGAACGUCGUGAGACAGUUCGGUCCCUAUCUGCCGUGGGCGCUGGAGAACUGAGGGGGGCUGCUCCUAGUACGAGAGGACCGGAGUGGACGCAUCACUGGUGUUCGGGUUGUCAUGCCAAUGGCACUGCCCGGUAGCUAAAUGCGGAAGAGAUAAGUGCUGAAAGCAUCUAAGCACGAAACUUGCCCCGAG
RNAcentral lists this ribosomal RNA (2926 nucleotides) under Salmonella enterica subsp. enterica serovar Enteritidis. Its description in RNAcentral is "partial 23S ribosomal RNA". It matches the Rfam family "Bacterial large subunit ribosomal RNA". The record is from RNAcentral. Lineage: Bacteria; Pseudomonadati; Pseudomonadota; Gammaproteobacteria; Enterobacterales; Enterobacteriaceae.